UACGGGAGGCAGCAGUGGGGAAUAUUGCACAAUGGGCGCAAGCCUGAUGCAGCCAUGCCGCGUGUAUGAAGAAGGCCUUCGGGUUGUAAAGUACUUUCAGUCGUGAGGAAGGUGUUAAGGUUAAUAACCUUAGCAAUUGACGUUAGCGACAGAAGAAGCACCGGCUAACUCCGUGCCAGCAGCCGCGGUAAUACGGAGGGUGCGAGCGUUAAUCGGAAUUACUGGGCGUAAAGGGCACGCAGGCGGUUAAUUAAGUUGGAUGUGAAAUCCCCGGGCUUAACCUGGGAAUGGCAUUCAAGACUGGUUAGCUAGAGUCUUGUAGAGGGGGUAGAAUUCCAUGUGUAGCGGUGAAAUGCGUAGAGAUGUGGAGGAUACCGGUGGCGAAGGCGGCCCCUGGGACAAGACUGACGCUCAUGUGCGAAAGCGUGGGGAGCGAAACAGGAUUAGAUACC
RNAcentral lists this ribosomal RNA (452 nucleotides) under uncultured bacterium. Its description in RNAcentral is "bacterial SSU rRNA". It matches the Rfam family "Bacterial small subunit ribosomal RNA", at positions 340 to 786 of the family's 1533-position model. The record is from RNAcentral.